This 217-nucleotide unclassified non-coding RNA is filed under the name Hevea brasiliensis (rubber tree). Lineage: Eukaryota; Viridiplantae; Streptophyta; Magnoliopsida; Malpighiales; Euphorbiaceae. The record is from RNAcentral.
GUUGACUGUAGAAAAAGUAUAGCUUGUGGCAAUAGCUGUGUGCCAGUUUCUUAUACUGAGAUUGAUGGCAGCACAUACUCAGAUAAAGAGCUUAUUUUCCCUCCUGAGCUGUUUCGAAAGAAACUAAGUUAUUUGAAUUUGAGUGGGUUUAAUGGGAUUAAAUGGUUUCGGCCCACAACACUUCAAGAAGUGUUAGACUUGAAGGCCAGAUACCCCG